This 205-nucleotide unclassified non-coding RNA is filed under the name Melitaea cinxia (Glanville fritillary). RNAcentral describes it as "misc RNA ENSMCXG00005015455.1". The record is from RNAcentral. Lineage: Eukaryota; Metazoa; Arthropoda; Insecta; Lepidoptera; Nymphalidae.
CUCAGUGGUCGUGUAGUGUUGUGCGGUUGUUGGCCGGUUGGUGCGGGAUGUGCCGGCUCCGUUCAACAUGCUGGCCGCUCGCCACGCCAAGUACCUGGGUUCGUUCCCGGCGGGCGGCGGCGAACACGAGGCUCGCGUCGAGACCGUCUCGCGGCGUCUGCAUCUCAUGAAGCAGGAGAGCGGGCACGCGGUACGUGUGUUGGUG